This 1588-nucleotide long non-coding RNA is filed under the name Scleropages formosus (Asian bonytongue). Its description in RNAcentral is "lncRNA (ENSSFOG00015024789.1)". Lineage: Eukaryota; Metazoa; Chordata; Actinopteri; Osteoglossiformes; Osteoglossidae. The record is from RNAcentral.
UAUUUUGUGUUAUAUCAACAUAGCAGCAAAAGAUGGUUUGGUUCACAGUUCAUGUUGCAAAAUGUCCAGGCCUGAUCCCCAUGCGCUUCUUCAAUCUCGCUUGUCCCAGCCUUGGACACACCUCUCCUUCCUGCUUACUCUGCACAGCAAACACUUUUUUUGCAGUUAUUUUCUACGUCUAAGUUAAUGCUAACAGUUGGGAUGAAUUAUCUGUUCUUUUUGCUCAAAGCAGUGAAGAAGAGGAGUCAGGAUUUUGGGUUACCUGUGACUGUAAAGAUAUUUUUUUGUAAUAUGUUUUCUUUUUUCGGUUAAUUAAAUGAAAUCCAAAGUCUAAGCGUGUGUGUGUUUAGCGUCUCUGAAAACAUGCGCUUCUGGAGCGCCUGCAGUGCCAGCAAAGUCCACCGGGCGGCGCUGUGACCCACGAAACAAGAAGUGGGCGCUCGGUCUCUUCGUCCUGCAGGAAUUACUGGGCUGCGAGUAACUUAACAUCAGCUUGAAGAGCGUUUUUGCCCAAAUAUCGGCCUCAUUUUUGGAGCAAAGACAAAAGCCAAGCACCGUAUAACUUAAAAGUUUUCUAGAAAGAAUACAGAUUUGACACUGGAUCAUCGCUCUUUCAUACGUCAUUUCAUUCUGUAGAGAUUGUAUGAGCAGAGCUAAUUAUUUAGUCUUACAAAUUAAAAAGAAAAACACACUAAUCUGGUGUCCCACAUGAAUUAAAAGAUGUGCUCCGUCACACUACAUUACUUUACCAUUCACUUCGUGAGGCUUUCUCUCGUUUAAUCAAAUAGCGUAACGUGGUAGCAGCUUAACUAACGUAUGAAUUAUGAACAAUUAAAACCCUGGUUGCAGUUUAACGUAUAAAUUAUGGAAAGAUUUCUAUUCGUGAAAUUUCCUACUGUAAUGAUGACGUAAUCGUUACACUACGUUACAAAAUAUAGGCGUUUUAUCUCAAGCCGGUACGGCCUCAAGCAGCCCCAAAGCUGUUCUGUUUGACCCGGAUCGGAGAGGCGGUCGCGCGCCACAUGCGUGAGACUCUCGUCAGUUUACACUUUGCCUCAGAGGCACAGGUGCACGUCUUUGCGGGCGAAGGCCUUACGGCGAGCACCGCGUUGGAACGGGAGGCGUAGGCGAGAGCUUGUGCGUAAGGAGCGACCCGACCCAGCAGGGGGCAGCAGUGGGAUGCCGGGUGCAAGUGGGAGGUGGUCACAAGUGCUGACAAGUGCUGCUGGCAUCCAGUCGGACCGGGAGCUCCUGAAAGCCUGUUUGCUGAUGCUGAGAAGUGACCGUCCGCUGCAGGGUCACAGGGUCCUCGCUGAAGCCGCUGCAGAUACGAGAUGAUGACGUGAUUUAUAUUGCAUGUUUAUGUAUUAUAAAGCUCCGGCUUUAUUAGGGGUGACCGUUUUUCAGUCCGUUUCAUUCUGUGUGCUUUGCGUAUUGUUAAAAGUGCAAUCCGUUGAUGGGGAACUUAAGUGACAUGACUAAAUAGAUUUUUACAAGUUAACAGUAACGUUUACCAGCAAUGUGCUUUUAUAGACACCGAAAGCAAAGUAACCCAAAAAGUUUUUUUUUUUGUUUCACCAAAAUCAAC